RNAcentral lists this ribosomal RNA (230 nucleotides) under uncultured microorganism. RNAcentral's name for it is "partial 16S ribosomal RNA". It matches the Rfam family "Bacterial small subunit ribosomal RNA", at positions 524 to 753 of the family's 1533-position model. The record is from RNAcentral.
UACGAAGGGGGCUAGCGUUGCUCGGAAUUACUGGGCGUAAAGGGCGCGUAGGCGGCUCUGUUAGUCAGGCGUGAAAUUCCUGGGCUCAACCUGGGGACUGCGCUUGAUACGGCGGGGCUUGAGGGCAGGAGAGGCUCGCGGAAUUCCCAGUGUAGAGGUGAAAUUCGUAGAUAUUGGGAAGAACACCGGUGGCGAAGGCGGCGAGCUGGCCUGUGACUGACGCUGAGGCG